UUUAAAUUUAUUUAUUUAAAUAUUUAUAUAUAUAUAUAUAUAUAUAUAUAUAUAUUAAAAAUAGUUAUAAAAUAAAAAUUUUUAGUAUUAAUUUAAGAAAAAAUAUUAUUAAUUAUAGAAUAUUAGUAUUGAAAAAGAAAAUUGAAAUAAUUAUGAAAAAUAAUAAUUAUAAAAGAAAAAUUAAUUUUUUGUACCUUGUGUAUCAGGGUUUAUUAAAUAAAAUUUAAUUAAUAUAAAUUUCUCGAUUUUAAAAGAUUUAAUAUAUUAUAAAAUAUAAGGUAAUAAAUUUAUUUUUAAUAAUAUAUUUGAAAUGAAAUGUUAUUCGUUUUUAAAGGUAUCUAGUUUAUUAAGAAAUAAAUUUAAUUUAUAAAUUUUAUAUUAUUUAUUUAAUUUUAAAAAUAAAUAAAUAUUUAAUUUAAAUAUUUUAUGGGAUAAGCUAUAAAAUAAAAUUUUAUAAAUAAAAAAUUUAUUAUAUUAAAUAUAGGGUUAAAAUUAUUCAUUAUUGAGAAAAAUGUAAUAAUUUAUUAUAAAAUUAUAAAAAAAUUUAUUUUAUUUUAAUUAUUUAUUAAUAUAUAUUUUUUAAUUUGUUAAAAUUAGAAAUAAUGAUAAAAUUAGUAUAAAUUUUUAUAUAAAUAUAUUUAUUUUUUAAAUUUUUUUAAAGAAUUCGGCAAAUUAAUAUAUUCACCUGUUUAACAAAAACAUCUCUUUAUGAUUAAAUAUAAGGUUUAACCUGCCCACUGAAUUUUUAAAUGGCUGCAGUAUAUUGACUGUACAAAGGUAGCAUAAUCAUUAGUUUUUUAAUUGGAAACUAGAAUGAAUGGUUGAAUGAAAUAUAAACUGUUUCAAUAAAAAUAAUUUAGAAUUUUAUUUUUUAGUAAAAAAGCUAAAAUAAUUUUAAAAGACGAGAAGACCCUAUAAAUCUUUAUAUAAAUUAUAAAUAUUUAAUUAUUUAGAAGUUUAUAAAAUAUUUAUUAUUUAUAUUUUAUUGGGGAGAUAAUAAAAUUUAAAAAACUUUUAUUUUUAAAAUUCAUUAAUUUAUGAAUUAUUGAUUAAUUAUUAAUGAAUAAUAAAAUAAGUUACUUUAGGGAUAACAGCGUAAUUAUUUUGGAGAGUUCAUAUUGAUAAAAUAGA
This 1131-nucleotide ribosomal RNA is filed under the name Nycteribia pygmaea. RNAcentral describes it as "partial 16S ribosomal RNA". Lineage: Eukaryota; Metazoa; Arthropoda; Insecta; Diptera; Nycteribiidae. The record is from RNAcentral.